GCAUCCAUAGCUCAGCAGGAUAGAGCAACCGCCUUCUAAGCGGUAGGUCGGAGGUUCGAAUCCCCCUGGAUGCGCCA
Molecule: transfer RNA, 77 nt
Filed under: Clostridia bacterium
Lineage: Bacteria; Bacillati; Bacillota; Clostridia
Description: tRNA-Arg
Rfam family: tRNA
About the family: Transfer RNA (tRNA) molecules are approximately 80 nucleotides in length. Their secondary structure includes four short double-helical elements and three loops (D, anti-codon, and T loops). Further hydrogen bonds mediate the characteristic L-shaped molecular structure. tRNAs have two regions of fundamental functional importance: the anti-codon, which is responsible for specific mRNA codon recognition, and the 3' end, to which the tRNAs corresponding amino acid is attached (by aminoacyl-tRNA synthetases). tRNAs cope with the degeneracy of the genetic code in two manners: having more than one tRNA (with a specific anti-codon) for a particular amino acid; and 'wobble' base-pairing, i.e. permitting non-standard base-pairing at the 3rd anti-codon position.
Source: RNAcentral